UUUUCUCUCAUGAUUAUUUGAUGGACGCUCUUCAUUGGUUGGUUAAUGCUCACGUUACCAUCUGCUCCUUGUUUAUCAUGAUUUUCUUAUUGGAAACAAACACACAUAUAUAUAUAUAUAUAUAUAUUAUUAACUUGAGUCCUCCUUUUUAUUAUGAAGAAGUAUGUUAUUAUUGUAUACUAAAACUGUUGGAUAAAAAUUACCUUUACUAUUUUAUUGAAUUGUAUUUAAAUAAUUAGUGUAUUUUAAUAAUUUUACUUAUUUUUCGCUCCUCUCACCCACAAACAUUUUCAAUCUAACUCUACUCUUCUUAAACAUAAUUAGAGGUCAAGGACCAUAUUUUUUCUGGAACUUCAUUAUAUCCUUAAGCACCAACCAAAAUUCAUUUUUGUUCACCCCUAAUCCAUCUUCACUUGGUUAUCUCUGUCAUAACCUGUGAACUUCAUUAUCUCCCAAUCAUAAUCCAUCACCGUUCUCACCAUUAUAACCGACAAAGUUUCGUUGCUCUCACCCUUUUUGAAAACCUCAAAAAUAUGGCUCAUUUGUAUGCUUUAAUGAAAUCAUAAUUUCAUAAUCCCAAACUCUCAAUCUAAUUUUAUUGUGUUUUUUCGAUCAAAAUUUCAGAAUAUAAUGACAUAAGAAGAAAGUGACGGUUGGCCUAUACAACUUCUUAAAAAUUCUGAUUGGAUAAAUGGAGAUGAUGAAAUUCAAGAUCUACAAAAUGACCAAGCUGAAAACAACAAUAAAUCAAGUCAUUUUAAAUGGCAAAUUUUCAAUUAUGAUGAAAUUGCUUACAAUUUUUACUCUUUAUUUGUAAAGAUUGUGGGUUUUUGAUUAGACGAGGUCAUGUAAAUGCAAGCACGUAUCAAUGAGAAGAUUAUAUAUGCAAGCAUACAUCACAUAAAUUUUGAUGAAGACAAAGGUUGAUAAAAAUAAAGAUUGAAGACAAAGUUUGAGAAAGACAAAGAUCGACAACAAAGAUUGAUGAAGACAAAUGUUGUAUAUCAAGGAUAAGCUCUAAGACAUAAACAAAUCAACAAACAACAAAGUCAACAAACAAAGUCAAAAGUCAAGACUCAAGUUCACACAAGCUAAAGCAUUCAAGAAGAUCUAGAGGCUAAAUGUUUUUAUAUUUUUAUUAGGUCUUAAGAUGUUUGCUUAGAAAGAGUCUAGGCUAGGAUGAGUCCUAAUGGAAGUCUCACAAGCUAAAAUCAAUCAUAAUUAAAAAAGACUUACAUGUAUACAUACAUGAUUUACAUGCACAUGCAUAAAUAUAUGAUCACAUGAUUUUGAUGCAUUUAAAAAGAGUUUUAUAUCAUACAUCAUUCAAAGUCAUGUGUCAUACUUUUACAAAUCAUGUAGGAGGUUCAUAUGACAUUGAAAUAUCUUUUUUCGAAAAUGUGUUAAUCGAUUAAGAGUUAUUUUAAUCGAUUAAGCAAUGAAAAAUUAGGAACCCGCUAAUCAUAUGAGUAUGAGUUUAAUCGAUUAAGGGUAGUUACAAUUUCCGGUUUCAUGAAUUUAAAAGAAUCAAUGAUCGAUUAGAUUAUGUGAUAAUCGAUUACCUGCAGCAAAAAAUAUAAUUGUAUAUUAACCCAAGUUUUUCCAUUUUGCAAAAAUAACUCACACAACGAAAAACACAUUGAUUACACAUAUUUCCAAAAAUCAAAUUGUUCUUACACUUUCAUAUUCAAAGAGAGAUUUUCAAAGUGUUUUUGAAAAAGAGAGAAAAAGGAAGAAGCAUAAUUGUCAAAUCUUGCAAAGAAACCUUGCAUCUCACAUUUCUAUAUUAUGAGUUUGUGAGAUUUGUAGAAGGGUUCUUAGAUUAUAGAAUAGUGUAUAUUCAACACAUAUAGGUGCAUCAACAACUUGUAAAGUUUUAGACAUUGGCAUAAACAUAUUCUAUUGGUGCGUUUAGUAUCACCAUUGAUAUAUGAUUGGUUUGGGAAAUCUUAGAUGCGGUUAGGUAGUUGUCCUUACUGCUUUAUUCAAGGGUCUUGAAGAUAAGUAAGAAUGGGCUAGGAUGAAUCAUAAGUAGGUGGGGUGUCCGAAAGAGGCGAGAGAGGUUAAGUCGCAUUGCUUGGCUUAAAGUUCAAGAAAGGAGCGCUUGUAAAAGUGUAGAAUUGGAAAGUGUGUUUGUAUAUACAUUGGUUUCAAUUUCCUAGUGAAGAAAAAUCUCCCAAUAUCAUAAUAAGAGGCUUGAAUGUAGUUUACAUGUGGACAUAUAAACAAACCAUGAUAAAAGUCGUGUCUCAUUCUUCUUAACCCUUAACUCUUUAGUUAGUUAUUUAUUUGCAGAACGAGUUAAUCAUAUAUGUGGUUAAUUGAUUAAACAGUAAGGAAAUUUAUAAAAUUUGUUUGUUAAUUAAGCAACGAUAAUUGUGUACCGUAUCACCUAUUUACCCUCUCUAGGUGAGAUACAGAGCCUUGUGGGACCCAAAAAGUGGUAUCAGAGGUAAUAUGAUCAUACUAGCUUAACCGCUUAGAUCGUUGAUCCUAGGAAAUAUUACCCAGGCUCUGCAAACCCUUUUGGAGGCGAAGACACAUCCAUCAACCACCCUCUAGUGUCCAGCUUGAUUUGAAAGCAACAAAUAUUAUUAUCUCUGCACUUUCAUACGAUGAGUUCAUUAGGAUUUCUCAAUGCAAUAGUUCCAAGGAUAUAUAAGACGCUUUGCAUGUAACCCACGAAAGCACUAGUAAGGUCAAACAGUCUAGAUUAAAUACUUUAAUACAUGAGUAUGAGUUAUUUCACAUGUUUCCACAUGAAUCUAUUUUUUAUAUGCAAAAGUGAUUACUCACAUUAUUAACCAUGUCAUUGCAUUAGAUAAAUCAUUUGCCAAACAUGAACUAACGAAUAAAGUAUUGAGAUGUCUUGAUAAGAAAUGACAACCCAAGGUGAUGACCAUCAUGGAGUCAAAGGACUUGGACCAAAUGACACUCGCUACACUUGGCAAACAUCAAGAAGAACAUGAGAUAGAGUUAAGAUGCUUGACACUCAAUGAAAAAAUGGACGAGAACAUCAAAGGAAUCUCUUUCAAAGCAACAAAAUCACAUUCAAGAAGUCAAAAAGAGAAAGUUGACGAUGACGAGUUUGAUUCCGUCAUAAAUGAUGAAACCACGUUCCUCCUCAUCAACAAAUUCAUAAAGUACUUAAGAAAUAAUGAAAAAGUCAAAAAGUUUCGUAAGGAUGAUGAAAAAGAUUCAAUCAAGAUGAGAAAGUAUCCCAAAGACAAAGCAACUUGCCAUAAGUGUGGGAAAGUAGGUCACAUGAGGUACACAUGUCCUACUUCUCUCAAGAAGAUUGAGCAUGACAACAAGAAAGACUUUCGGGACAUCAAAGCUAAGAAGACAUACAUCGGUUGGGAUGCACCCGAAGAGGACACUACAUCAACAAACAACUCUGAAGAUGAAGAAUCAAAGAAGAUAUGUCUUAUAGCUCAAAAGCUGAAUUCUUGCAAAGUAAGUGAGCAAGAUGAGUCUAGUGAGAUAAACCCUUUCGAUUCUAGUUCAAACUUCGAUAAUUCCGCCACACAUGAUAUGUUUUAUGAUGUUUAUGUUGAAAUGCAUGAAGAAAAUAAAAAGUUAGCUAAAAAGUAUGCAUAUGGAAAAAGGUUGAUUUUAGAACAUGAAGAAAGAAUUUGUGAAUUGCAAAGUUUUAUUGAUGAGCUUAAAUUUGAAAAUGAAACCUUAGAUCUUAAAUAUGUUAAAUCUUCAUGUGAUUAUACUACUAAGUUAAAUGUGAUAUGUACUUUUGAAAAUUGCACCUUCUUGGAAAAAGAAAAUAAUAUCUUAAAGGAUAAAGUUGCUAAAUUCACAACUAGAAAUCACAAAUUAAACAACUUACUUGCUACAUUUAAAAAUGUUGAGAUUAGAUCCAAUUUGGGAUAUACAUACAAAGAAUAUAUUUCACAAGAAACAAGUAGAUGUUUUGAAAAUGUCGUAUCUUUUUAAUCCUCUACUUGCUUUUAUUGUGGAAUGCAUGGUCAUAAUUUGAGUACAUGUAAUAUUAGAAUACAUUAUGUUCUUAAUGGAAAAUAUAUGUGGAUCGUUAAGAGAUAAGAUCCCCAAGUAACUAGUAUCAAGGGACACAAGAUCAUCUAGGUACCCAAGACAUGCUCUAUUCCUUAUCAAGGAUAUCCUUUAUUCCAUAUUGUUUGAAACUAAAUAAUGUAAAUUACCUUAUUAUAAUAUAUAUUUAAAAAUAUAAAUCAAAAUUAAUCGGAAAUAUCUUUAUUAAUCAAUGAUCAAUUUAUGUUUAAUUUCAUUGGUUUGACAAUGUCACUAAAGAGCUUAUAAAUUAGUGAGCAAGCUUAUUUAACUAAAAAUAAAUCAUUAACCCAUUUUGCUUAGAGACUAUUUUUAUAAAAACAUUGACUUAUAAGUUGUUAUAUAAGAAGUCAGUUAAUUAAAUGAGAUUAAUUAUAAAUAUUUUUAUAUCAUUUAACACUAAUUAGUGGGUCAAUCAAAUUUGCUUAGAGAUCAUUUUAAAAAUAAAACCUUGACUUAUGUCUUAUAGAUAAUAAGAUUAAUUGUGAUGGUGGCAUAAAUUUUUGUAUGUUUAAAAUAAUAUUUUUAAAUUUGAUAUGGUCUAAUACGACCUAAUGUAAUCUAAUACAGUUCGAAGUGUCUCAAAUAUGACCAAUAUAUUUGUGUUGCAAUCCAACAAAACCACAUCAUAAUAAUUUGAUGUCAUACUACAAAUAUGUUAUAAUACACUUCCAAUGAUGUUCAUAAAAUGCAAUCGAUUAUAUAUAUGAGUGGAAGGUGACAGAUAUGUUUGUGUGAGCCUCUUAUGGAAUAAAUGGACAUCAAUUUCACAAGGAAGAUUAUAUAUAUGAUAAGGUUAUAUAUAUAGCAACUAGAGAUAUAAUUUUGAGAGGGACACUUAAUGAUUAGAGAAAGACUUGUAUGGAACAUAUACAACAUGUUAUAUUUAGAGAUACAUAUAUUUAUAUUUUUUGUUGUUAUCAUUUAGGAUUAAAUUUUAAUUAUAAUUAAAUUUUAAUGUAUUGUCAAGAUUUUAUUGAUUAUCUUUAUAUAUAUAUAUAUACAUCUUCACACAUAUAUUUUUCUCUCAUAAUUAUUUGAUGAACUCUCUUCAUUGGUUGGUUAACGCCCACGUCACCAUUUACCCCAUGUUUAUCAUGGUUUGCUUAUUAAAAACAAACAUACAUAUAUAUUAUAGUAACAGGGGUCCUCCUUUUUAUUAAGAAGAAGUAUGUUAUUUCUGUGUAUUAAAACUGUUGAACAAAAAUUACAUUUACUAUUUUAUUGAAUUGUAUUUAAAUAAUUAGUGCAUUUUAAUAGUUUCACUUAUUUUUCACUCCUCUCACCCACAAACAUUUUCAAUCUAACUCUACUCUUCUUAAACACAAUUACAGGUCAAGGACAACAUUUUUUUUUUCUGGAACUUCAUUAUAUCCUUAAGCACCAACCAAAAUUUAUUUUCGUUCACGCCUAAUCCAUCUUCACUUCGUUAUCUCUAUCAUAAUUUGUGAACUUCAUUAUCUCUCAAUCAUAAUUCAUCGUCGUUCUCACCAUUAUAACCCACGAAGUUUCAUCGUUCUCACCCUUUUUGCAAACCUCAAGAAUCUGGC
RNAcentral lists this long non-coding RNA (5594 nucleotides) under Lupinus angustifolius (narrow-leaved blue lupine). RNAcentral describes it as "long non-coding RNA (LANG_LNC000757)". Lineage: Eukaryota; Viridiplantae; Streptophyta; Magnoliopsida; Fabales; Fabaceae. The record is from RNAcentral.